GAUGAACGCUGGCGGCGUGCCUAAUACAUGCAAGUCGAGCGAACGGACGAGAAGCUUGCUUCUCUGAUGUUAGCGGCGGACGGGUGAGUAACACGUGGAUAACCUACCUAUAAGACUGGGAUAACUUCGGGAAACCGGAGCUAAUACCGGAUAAUAUUUUGAACCGCAUGGUUCAAAAGUAAAAGAAGGUCUUGCUGUCACUUAUAGAUGGAUCCGCGCUGCAUUAGCUAGUUGGUAAGGUACCGGCUUACCAAGGCAACGAUGCAUAGCCGACCUGAGAGGGUGAUCGGCCACACUGGAACUGAGACGCGGUCCAGACUACUACGGGAGGCAGCAGUAGGGAAUCUUCCGCAAUGGGCGAAAGCCUGACGGAGCAACGCCGCGUGAGUGAUGAAGGUCUUCGGAUCGUAAAACUCUGUUAUUAGGGAAGAACAUAUGUGUAAGUAACUGUGCACAUCUUGACGGUACCUAAUCAGAAAGCCACGGCUAACUACGUG
Molecule: ribosomal RNA, 497 nt
Filed under: uncultured bacterium
Lineage: Bacteria
Description: partial 16S ribosomal RNA
Rfam family: Bacterial small subunit ribosomal RNA
Source: RNAcentral